GACGAACGCUGGCGGCGUGCUUAACACAUGCAAGUCGAACGGCAAGGCACUGCUUUCGUGGGGUGCCCGAGUGGCGAUCGGGUGAGUAACACGUGAGUAACCUGCCCUUGACUUUGGGAUAACUUCAGGAAACUGGGGCUAAUACCGGAUAGGAGCUCCUGCUGCAUGGUGGGGGUUGGAAAGUUUCGGCGGUUGGGGAUGGAUUCGCGGCUUACCAGCUUGUUGGUGGGGUAGUGGCUUACCAAGGCUGUGGCGGGUAACCGGCCUGAGAGGGUGAACGGCAACAAUAGGACUGAGAUAGGGACCAGAGGGGUACGGGGGGCAACAGUGGGGAGUAUUGCACAAUGGGCCGAAGCCUGAUGCGAAAACGUUGCGGGCGGAAAGACGGCCUGCUGGUUAUAAACCGCUGUCGCCUGAGACGAAGCGGUAGUGACGGUACUGGAUAAAUAAGCACCGGCUAACUACGUG
RNAcentral lists this ribosomal RNA (468 nucleotides) under uncultured bacterium. Its description in RNAcentral is "partial 16S ribosomal RNA". It matches the Rfam family "Bacterial small subunit ribosomal RNA", at positions 28 to 507 of the family's 1533-position model. The record is from RNAcentral.